AGCCAGACUCCUACGGGAGGCAGCAGUGGGGGAUAUUGCACAAUGGGGGAAACCCUGAUGCAGCGACGCCGCGUGGGCGAAGAAGUAUUUCGGUAUGUAAAGCCCUAUCAGCAGGGAAGAAGAAAUGACGGUACCUGACUAAGAAGCCCCGGCUAACUACGUGCCAGCAGCCGCGGUAAUACGUAGGGGGCAAGCGUUAUCCGGAUUUACUGGGUGUAAAGGGGGCGCAGACGGCGAUGCAAGCCAGGAGUGAAAGCCCGGGGCCCAACCCCGGGACUGCUUUUGAAACUGUGUAGCUGGAGUGCAGGAGAGGUAAGUGGAAUUCCUAGUGUAGCGGUGAAAUGCGUAGAUAUUAGGAGGAACACCGGUGGCGAAGGCGGCUUACUGGACUGUAACUGACGUUGAGGCUCGAAAGCGUGGGGAGCAAACAGGAUUAGAUACCCCGGUACG
Molecule: ribosomal RNA, 450 nt
Filed under: uncultured bacterium
Lineage: Bacteria
Description: partial 16S ribosomal RNA
Rfam family: Bacterial small subunit ribosomal RNA
Source: RNAcentral